Molecule: ribosomal RNA, 273 nt
Filed under: uncultured bacterium
Lineage: Bacteria
Description: partial 16S ribosomal RNA
Rfam family: Bacterial small subunit ribosomal RNA
Source: RNAcentral
UACGUAGGGAGCAAGCGUUGUUCGGAUUUACUGGGCGUAAAGGGCGCGUAGGCGGCCUGUCAAGUCAAUUGUGAAAUCUCCGAGCUUAACUCGGAACGGUCAAUUGAUACUGUCAGGCUAGAGUGCAGAAAGGGCAAUCGGAAUUCUUGGUGUAGCGGUGAAAUGCGUAGAUAUCAAGAGGAACACCUGAGGCGAAGGCGGGUUGCUAGGCUGACACUGACGCUGAGGCGCGAAAGCCAGGGGAGCAAACGGGAUUAGAAACCCCCGUAGUCC